This 187-nucleotide unclassified non-coding RNA is filed under the name soil metagenome. Its description in RNAcentral is "partial internal transcribed spacer 1". The record is from RNAcentral.
CAGAGUUGCAAAACUCCCACAAACCAUCGCGAAUCUUACCCGUACGGUUGCCUCGGCGCUGGCGGUCCGGAAGGCCCUCGGCCCCCCGGAUCCUCGGGUCUCCCGCUCGCGGGAGGCUGCCCGCCGGAGUGCCGAAACCAAACUCUUGAUAUUUUAUGUCUCUCUGAGUAAACUUUUAAAUAAGUUA